GACGAACGCUGGCGGCGUGCCUAAUACAUGCAAGUCGAGCGGACCAAUUGAGAAGCUUGCUUUUUGAUUGGUUAGCGGCGGACGGGUGAGUAACACGUGGGUAACCUGCCCUAUAGACUGGGAUAACUCGCGGAAACGUGAGCUAAUACCGGAUAACACAUCAAAGUGCAUGCUUUGAUGUUGAAAGAUGGUUCUGCUAUCACUAUAGGAUGGGCCCGCGGCGCAUUAGCUAGUUGGUGGGGUAACGGCCUACCAAGGCGACGAUGCGUAGCCGACCUGAGAGGGUGAUCGGCCACACUGGGACUGAGACACGGCCCAGACUCCUACGGGAGGCAG
This 336-nucleotide ribosomal RNA is filed under the name uncultured Bacillota bacterium. RNAcentral describes it as "bacterial SSU rRNA". It matches the Rfam family "Bacterial small subunit ribosomal RNA", at positions 28 to 351 of the family's 1533-position model. Lineage: Bacteria; Bacillati; Bacillota. The record is from RNAcentral.